AGCACUGCUGGGCGGACCCUGUGCUAGCUCUAUUCCCUCCCUAUCUCCUCUCCGCUUCGUGCGCUGGCGGUUGAUGGACGGACUCCGAAGACCUCAGCCGUAACAAGAUGCCGAUCUCGCCGCUGGGACUUCGGCCGCUUGUAGCGGGAUCCCGAUCCGGCCAGGCGUCCAGCGGAGUCCGACCGGGCAGGUUCCCCUGGACUCGGAACCUCGCAGCCGUAUAAAACCGAGGCGUCCCUUUUGCAUCCGUGGCGUCCGCCAUUACCGAGCGCAGAGGGAGAAAGCAGCGUCGCCACCGCGGAAUCCACACCUCGGGGUCAAACCGGUGUCCUGCGUGGCGUCUAGAGUUUUGGCCGAGUUCGGUGGUUGACACUACGGAUGUGUUGGAUCGGGUGAAUCAGUGGUGGCGAGUUAAUUCCUCGCCGGAGCACCAGUCCACCGUGAAUCCGCCUAUCGCCGUGGGCGCUGAUUACCGUCGCUCCUUUCUCGGGUAUGUAACUCCUACUGCGUUCGCCACAUUCCGUACUACGCAUACUCGUCGCCGAUUGGGUUUUGGUCGCCGUAUUGCGCUUGGGUGAAGAUCCGGCGAUGGCGUCCGCCGCGGCUGGGACGGCGCGGGUGCGCUCGGUUCUGGAGGAGGGCGACGGGUCCGUGGCCAUCGGAUCCGUGGACGACGGUUCAGAUUAGAGCGUAGCAUACCAAUUGGGUGGAAGAGCAGAGAAGCGUUUGAUCGUGAUCUAGCGGCUUGGAUUUGAGCGCGCGUUCGGGUAAUACUGACCGUAGAUCUUCAAUCCAACGUAUGGCGGGUUAUACCGGUUCAUUGACUCGUGAAUCUAAUCUGGGCGCUCGGCUUGCGAUCCAACGGCUCAGAUCGCACCGUACCCUUUCGCCGAGCCGAAAUUGUAAAAGAGCCCCUCUACUUUUCAAGAAUCAACCCGCAGUCCAACACUACUGUGCUCUGUGUCUAGGGAAAAUUAGGAUUUGGCCCCUGUGUUAUCUGUAAAUAGUGCGCCCAGUCCUGGGAAUUAUAAAAUCCAGAAAAAGUGAUUAGAGAAUGAUUUUAAUGAGAAAAUAAAUGCUAAAACUUGUUUAAUUCAUAUAAAAUUCAUAUUAAGUCCAAAUAAGUCCAUUCCAAUUUCUAUAAUUUUAUAAUAUUAUUGUUUAUCAAAUAGUGCCACUGAUUUGACAUGAAAGCCACUUUAAAAUUUAUCUCCUAAUUAAUCUUAUACGAAAUACAUAAAACCAUAGGAAAUUCAUAACUCCUCCGUUUUAACUCCGAUUUGAUCCGUUCAAGUUGCGUUAGUCUCGUAGCUUCGCGUAGAUUAUUUUUAUGCAGUGUGUUCUUAUGUUUGGUGUAAUGUUAAUUUUGCCUAUACACUGUUUGUUUGUAUUGCUACGAUUAGCAGUGAGGUCACGAGUCAUCUGAAGAUCCUGGUACCUGGAAUCUCAAGUCUCAGGCAAGUUGUGCCCUUGAUCACUUCUUUUUACCCACUCAUGUUCUAAUUAAUCAUAAUGAUCUGCAUAGGUUAAUUUUGAUGGGACCCAAUAGGUUACCCUAGUUUGUCUACCUUUAUACCUUGAUUACCACUGGACUUUUUGGGUAGUACUUGCUAUUGCUUUAUGUGGUUUUGGGUAUGAAGAUACAUUAUUCAUGAUCACACUUUUAUUAUCUGUUUAUUAUUACUGUUCAUGAUAAGAUCAUUAUGUUAAUUGGAACAUGGAGCGACCACCCGGGAAAACAGUGCUACCACAAUGGUUUAAUGGGACGCCCUUGGCCGAUUAAUUAGGAAAGCUAGUGGAAGACUACCUUACCCGAAAGGGGCAAGGGCAGUAGGGGAGUGGUCAGUGUAGGGAGGCCCUCGGGAGGAUUUUGCUGCGAUGGCGGUCCUGCAAGGGAUUCCUGCAUUGGAGCUUCCUAUAAACUGUAGCGGGUUUUCUGAAGCUAGUGGAACUUUGUAAAGGCCUCGUAGUGUUACCCUGCCUCGCCUCCUCGGUAGAGGUGUAUGGGAAGUCGCGAUCCCUUGGCAGAUGGGUAACACGACUUGUGGGUAAAGAUGCGCAACCUCUGCAGAGUGUAAAACGGGUAUACUAGCCGUGCUCACGGUCAUGAGCAGCUCGGACCCUCACAUGAUUAAAUUAUUGAACUUAAAUUCAAUUUGUCAUAUGCAUUGCAUCGCAGGUGAUGUUGUUACUUCUGUUCUACUAUUUAAUUGGGUUGGUAUUUACUUAUACUUAGUAAUUGCUAAUAAAAUUUUGACCAACUUUAAAAGCAAUGCUCAGCUUCAACCAUCCUCUUUGGUAAGCCUUACACUUCACGUGAGCUCCCACCUUUGGCGAGUUCAUGCAAAUUAUUCCCCACAACUUGUUGAGCGAUGAACGUAUGUGAGCUCACUCUUGCUGUCUCACACCCCCCCAUAGGUCAAGAACAGGUACCGCAGGAUGUGGCGCUUGGAGGAUGCUGCGAUGUGUUCGUGAGAGGUCUAGGCCGUCGUCUCCCAGUCAACUUUGGGUUGCUGGACCGUUGUCUCCUUAUAAUGUAAAUAUUUAUUUUGUAUAGAACUCCUGUUAUAUAUAAAGAUGUGACAUUCGAUCAUGUGCCAUGAUUCAUCAUAUGUGUGAGACUUGGUCCCAGCACACCUGGUGAUUAUGUUCGCGCCCGGGCUUUGGACCCCUAAAACCCGGGUGUGACAUGCAUGGUCCAAGUCCACCUUUUCCCUUUUAAUUCUCCUUCGAGACUAAAUCAAGUAAACUCAAGCAUAUGGUUAGUCUCAAAGGGUCAAGUUGUAACACAUCUCCCCCUAAAACUGUGCAUCACUUUGCAACGGACUUGUGAGGUCCAGGGAGUGUUUGUACAACUUGAGCACCAUACUAAACAACAAAAUGCAAAAAGGAACAUGAUCAAAAGCAUAAAUACAUGUAUGCUACAAUUCAAUCCAAGUUCCGCGAAUCUAAGACAUUUAGCUCACUACGCAGCCUGCAAAAGGUCUUCUCAUCUAGAGGCUUGGUGAAGAUAUCAGCUAGCUGGUUCUCGGUGCUAACAUGAAACACUUCGAUAUCUCCCUUUUGCUGGUGGUCUCUCAAAAAGUGAUGCCGGAUGUCAAUGUGCUUUGUGCGGCUGUGUUCAACAGGAUUUUCCGCCAUGCGGAUAGCACUCUCAUUGUCACAUAGGAGUGGGACUUUGCUCAGAUUGUAGCCAAAGUCCUAAAGGGUUUGCCUCAUCCAAAGUAGUUGCGCGCAACACUGCCCUGCAGCAACAUACUCGGCCUCAGCGGUGGAUAGGGCAACGGAGGUUUGUUUCUUAGAGUUCCACGACACCAGGGACCUUCCUAAGAAUUGGCACGUUCCUGAUGUACUCUUCCUAUCGACCUUACAUCCAGCAUAGUCGGAAUCUGAGUAUCCAACCAAGUCAAAGGUAGACCCCUUUGGAUACCAGAGCCCAAAGCAAGGCGUAGCAACCAAAUAUCUAAGAAUUCGCUUCACCGCCACUAAGUGACACUCCUUAGGAUCGGAUUGAAAUCUAGCACACAUGCAUACGCUAAGCAUAAUAUCCGGUCUACUAGCACAUAAAUAAAGUAAAGACCCUAUCAUUGACCGGUAUGCUUUUUGAUCAACGGACUUACCUCCUUUGUUGAGGUCGGUGUGUCCGUCGGUCCCCAUCGGAGUCUUUGCGGGCUUGGCGUCCUUCAUCCCAAACCGCUUCAGCAAGUCUUGCGUGUACUUUGUUUGGGAGAUGAAGGUGCCGUCCUUGAGUUGCUUCACUUGAAACCCAAGGAAGUAGUUCAACUCGCCCAUCAUCGACAUCUCGAAUUUCUGCAUCAUAACCCUGCUAAACUCUUCACAAGACUUUUGGUUAGUAGAACCAAAUAUUAUGUCAUCAACAUAAAUUUGGCACACAAAAAGAUCAAUGUCGCAAGUCUUAGUAAAAAGAGUUGGAUCGGCUUUCCCAACCUUGAAAGCAUUAGCAAUUAAGAAGUCUCUAAGGCAUUCAUACCAUGCUCUUGGGGCUUGCUUAAGUCCAUAGAGCGCCUUAGAGAGCUUACACACGUGGUCGGGGUACCGUUCAUCCUCGAAGCCAGGGGGUUGCUCCACGUACACCUCCUCCUUGAUUGGCCCAUUGAGGAAAGCGCUCUUCACAUCCAUUUGGUACAACCUGAAAGAAUGGUGAGCGGCAUAUGCUAGCAAGAUACGAAUUGAUUCUAGCCUAGCCACAGGAGCAAACGUCUCCUCAAAGUCCAAACCUGCGACUUGGGCAUAACCUUUUGCCACAAGUCGAGCCUUGUUCCUCGUCACCACCCCGUGCUCGUCCUGUUUGUUGCGGAACACCCACUUGGUUCCCACAACAUUUUGCUUGGGACGAGGCACCAGUGUCCAAACUUCAUUGCGCUUGAAGUUAUUGAGUUCCUCCUGCAUGGCCAAUACCCAAUCCGGAUCUAGCAAGGCCUCCUCUACCCUGAAAGGCUCAAUAGAAGAGACAAAGGAGUAAUGCUCACAAAAAUUAACUAAUCGAGAUCGAGUAGUUACUCCCUUGCUAAUGUCACCCAAAAUUUGGUCGACGGGAUGAUCCCUUUGAAUCACCGCUCAAACUUGGGUUGGAGGUGCCGGUUGCACUUCUUCCUCCAUCACGUGAUCAUCUUGUGCUCCCCCUUGAUCACACGCCUCCUUUUGAAGAACCUGUUCAACGUCUUGAGUUGGGAGAUGCACCGUUGUUGAGGAAGAAGGUUGAUCUCGUUCAUCUUGUUCCUGUGGCCGCACUUCUCCAGUCGCCAUGGUUCGUAUAGCGGCCGUCGGAACAUCUUCUUCAUCUACAUCAUCAUAAUUAACAACUUGCUCUCUUGGAGAGCCAUUAGUCUCAUCAAAUACAACGUCGCUAGAGACUUCAACCAAACCCGAUGAUUUGUUGAAAACUCUAUAUGCCUUUGUAUUUGAGUCAUAACCUAACAAAAACCCUUCUACAGCUUUGGGAGCAAAUUUUGAAUUUCUACCCUUCUUCACUAGAAUGUAGCACCUGCUCCCAAAUACAUGAAAGUAAGAUACAUUGGGUUUGUUACCGGUUAGUAGCUCAUACGAGGUCUUCUUGAGGAGGCGAUGAAGGUAGACCCUGUUGAUGGCGUGGCAAGCCGUGUUCACGGCUUCCGACCAAAAACGCUCGGGGGUCUUGAAUUCUCCAAGCAUUGUCCUCGCCAUAUCGAUUAGCGUCCUGUUCUUCCUCUCUACCACACCAUUUUGCUGUGGUGUGUAGGGAGCGGAGAACUCGUGCUUGAUCCCUUCCUCCUCAAGGAACUCCUCCACUUGAAGGUUCUUGAACUUGGACCCAUUGUCGCUCCUUAUCUUCUUCACCUUGAGCUCAAACUCAUUUUGAGCUCUCCUGAGGAAGCGCUUGAGGGUCCCUUGGGUUUCAGACUUAUCCUGCAAAAAGAACACCCAAGUGAAGCGGGAAAAGUCAUCAACAAUAACUAAACCAUACUUACUUCCUCCUAUGCUUAGAUAGGCGACGGGUCCGAAGAGGUCCAUAUGUAGCAGCUCCAGGUGUCUUGAUGUGGUCAUCACAUUCUUGCUGUGAUGCGCUCCUCCCACCUGUUUACCUGCCUGACAAGCUGCACAAGGUCUAUCUGUAACACCCCUGGUGUUACUAUAACUAAAACUUGAGCAUGGCAUCAUGAGCAUUGGCAUUGCAUAUGUUUGACACAUCUAGAGUGCAUUCACUAGGCAAAAAUUUCAAACAAGUUGUAUUGUUUUAAUAUUUUUGCAAAUGAAACCCUGGUUAAUGGACUUAACCCUAAAUAGUGGUUAAAGGGGUAAAAACUUAACCCAAGUUAAGAAAACCUAAAUACUUUAGGGUAAAAGUCAUAAAAUGACCCUAAGAAUAAACUUGAAUCACUUUUGUACCCCUGGGAUACCAGAAACCCUAAUUAGAACCCUGGCAAACCCUGAAACCAAACCCUAGGGGCUUAUGUGCAAAAUUAGUCCACUUUUGGACUAAAGUGCAAAAACCAAGCCAAAUAAGUAUCUUAAGUCCUUUGGAUUACAAGUAUGUGGACUUGAAAGCAAAACCCUAAGUUUUGGGUUUAUUUGCAAAAAGUACCACUUGACCUCUAUAUAGCCUAAGUCUGAAAUCAGUGUUGUGAGCACAACUUUGAGCCCUUGUAACUUUCAAAGCAUAGGGUUUUUGCCCUAGGUUACCACAUCAAAGUUGAAGAUCAAUCUUAGGGGAACAACUUUGUUUAAGGAUUCAAGCCAUGGUCUUAUGUGAAAUUUGGAGAAAAACCCCAAUCAAAGAUAGGCUGUCAGACUGCUUGAAGUUGAAUUUCAGAGUUACAGUGCUAUGGGGUGAACUUUGAGCUCGAUUUUGAUUUGGAUCCAGUGCUCAAAUGAGUUCAAUCCCUAUAGUCGAAUUGUAGCUAGUUUGUAGCUUUAAAACUUUGCUACAGAGAGUGGAGUGAGUUACUAGAGAAACUUUAGAGAGAUUUGGUCCUAAACUGUGACUGUCAGGCGCACUGAUGAACAUAUCCCAUGGUACAGUGCUCUAACCGGAUCAGAUCGACCGCCGUGGAAAAAUCUCACCGCCGGCGACCGCUUUGCCGGGAUUGGUGCCGCGGCCGUGUGGGUGUUGCUCACCUUGAAAAGAUCUUCACCCCCAGUGCGCUGGCGACCUCUCCGGUAACCCCCGUGGCCCUCUCUCUUCCUCUUUGCGGCCGAGAGGAUUACCUCGCCGGUGACCGCCGCCUCCCGGCCUUAUGCCGCGUGUCCAAGCCUUUCCACCGCGUCGCCAUGACUCCCUCUACCCGUCCCAUCGUCGAUGGGGAGAUUGCCACGGCGGUGGACACGAAUUCACCGCACCUGCGUUCUUCCUUAUUUCCGGCCGCCAGCUCUGUCCGGCCAAAUUAAGCGCCGCCGUCGAAGCCUCCUAUAAAUUGAGCCCCUGGGCAGCUUCGCCAAGCCAUCCCGAAGCUAUAGCACCCGCUUCCACCCGCGAUCAUCCACCAGCAUGCGCAGAUUUCCCAUUCUCCCCAAAUCCGGUCUCCGCCACCGUGAAACCGAGCUCACCGUCGCCAGCCCAUCUCCGGUCAGCUCCCGUCCCCUGCUUCCUCGUUUAAGCUUCCUCACAUGCCUACGAUGCUUACUGAACCACCAAUUUGAACUACGAGCUCACCAAUCACCGGGAACACGAUCUACUGUCCGCCACCCAUUCGGUUCACGCGGACAGAGCUUGAUAGCUCACUAUUUGUGCAAUUAGGUUGGGGAAAACAUUCAUGGGGACUCGGAUUUAGUCUCGGCUGAAGCUUAGCGCCGGUCACUGCCUCAAUCGGCCGGUCUGCUAGCUCGCCGGAGCACGGCGGUGCGCGAGCGCCGUCGUGGACUUCAAAUCGUGAAUAGAUAGAAACCGGUGGGUCUUUUUGUGAAGUGUCAGUGACUCAGAUAAACAGUAAAAGAACCUGGUCGCAGUUAGUCCAAAACGCGGGGGCCCCUGUGCAAAGUCGCCAGGGCGCGGGCGCGCGCGGGCGCCUUUCCCUCUAGAACUGGGCCGCUGGGCUGAAACCAGCCCAACACUGUUUCAACCUUUUCCUUUUUCUUUUUCAGCAGAGUUUCAAAAAUAUGUAGAAAAAUGUAGAAAAAUGCUAAAAUUGUGAAACUAAUUUUCCUAGGUUUGUUAUUUUCCUUAGAAUUUAGUAAAAAUAAGUUUGUGAUUUUUAGUGAAAGUAAGAAAUUUGAGGGUAUUUAAAGUGGUUAAAAAUGUUGGUUAUAGAUUUUUAGAAAAUAAUUGGUAAGUCCUAAAAUGCCCAAAAUUUUUAUAUGAGUGUUAUACAAUAUUUAGAAGCCUUGGGUAAAGUUUGAAUUGAUUUGGACCUUGUUUGAUCACCAAACCCCAAAACACCCCCCCUGCCCUAUGAACUCCUUUACCGACUCCGGAAACCCUAAGUUCCCGGAACUCCGUGAAGGAAAGUUGUAUUCAAGACAUAAAUAAUAAGUUUAUGUUAUCUUUGCAUCCUCAUGAGCAUCCCAUGGCAUCCAUUCUUAUACUUAUGUAUGGUUAUGAUUAGAACGUGAAGAAGAGG
Molecule: long non-coding RNA, 8054 nt
Filed under: Zea mays
Lineage: Eukaryota; Viridiplantae; Streptophyta; Magnoliopsida; Poales; Poaceae
Description: long non-coding RNA (ZMAY_LNC001822)
Source: RNAcentral